UUAAAAUGAUGAGAUAAUUACCGCCCCAGUCUGACAGUUGUGAUGAGUGGUGCUACUUUG
Molecule: small nucleolar RNA, 60 nt
Filed under: Folsomia candida
Lineage: Eukaryota; Metazoa; Arthropoda; Collembola; Entomobryomorpha; Isotomidae
Source: RNAcentral